Non-coding RNA from Jatropha curcas, 2160 nucleotides. NCBI's taxonomy places the organism in Eukaryota, Viridiplantae, Streptophyta, Magnoliopsida, Malpighiales, Euphorbiaceae. The record is from RefSeq and is a predicted model, not a curated record.
CUCGGCAACUCUCCCCUACCGCUCACUACAAGCCAUGCACUGAUUCUGUCUUUCUCUGGCCUCUUUUCAGAGGUUUCUUCACACACAAACACACACACUCUCUCUCUCUUAUCAACCUUUACAUCGCUCCUUUUGGUCUCUCCCUCCAAUCUCCGGCUUACCAAAUUCUCAUUUUCAGGUGAAUCCGUCAAUUCGCUUGGAUCAUUAGCUUGUUAAUUAGCCGCCUCCGGUAGCAAAGAGGAUAUACGCAAGCUACACUUGUUUGGUGUAUGAGAAAUUGGAUUCCUGGAAAUGGGUAGAGGUGUGAUUUUGGCUCCAGUAGAGACACAAGCGUCUUUGAAGAAGAAGACUGCGGUUUCUACGAGCUGGAUUUUGCUGGACCAAAGUGGCCAGGGUGCCAUCAUUGAUGUGGACAAGUACGCUAUUAUGCGUAGAGUCCAGAUUCACGCCAGAGAUCUUCGAAUUCUGGAUCCUCUUUUAUCUUAUCCUUCUACGAUUUUAGGCAGAGAAAGAGUUAUUGUUCUCAACUUGGAGCAUAUAAAAGCCAUAAUCACAGCAGAGGAGGUAUUGCUAAGAGACCCACUGGACGAUAAUGUAAUUCCUAUCGUUGAGGAACUUCAAAGACGAUUGCCCCUUUUAGAUAUCACAAGUCAAAUUCAAGGAGAAGAAGAAGAGCACCAGGGGGUGGGAAAAGAUGUUGACACAGGAGAAGAAAAUGAAUUUCCAUUUGAAUUUCGAGCAUUAGAAGUUGCACUGGAAGCCAUUUGUAGUUUUCUAGAUGCACGUACUCGAGAACUUGAGACCGAAGCUUAUCCUGCUUUAGAUGAGCUGACCUCAAAGAUUAGUAGUCGGAAUCUGGACCGGGUGCGUAAACUGAAGAGUUCCAUGACAAGGUUGACAAAUCGGGUUCAAAAGAUAAGGGAUGAACUUGAGCAGCUUCUAGAUGAUGAUGAUGACAUGGCUGACCUGUACUUAUCAAGAAAGUUAGUUGGCUCAGCUUCACCUGUCAGUGGCUCUAGUGUUCCCAAUUGGUUUCUUAGCUCUCCUACCAUAGGUUCAAAGAUAUCUAGAACAAGUAGGGCCAGUGCAAUAACAAUUCCAGGGGAAAAUGAUGUGGAGGACCUUGAAAUGUUGCUUGAGGCUUACUUCAUGCAGAUUGAUGGCACACUGAACAAAUUGACAACGGUAGGCUACUGCAGUUCUUUUGGCAGAAUAUUUCUAUUCUUGUAAGCUGCGUGAAUAUAUUGAUGACACAGAGGACUACAUCAAUAUCCAGCUUGAUAAUCAUCGGAAUCAACUCAUUCAGCUAGAGCUCUUCCUAUGUUCAGGGACUGUAUGUUUGUCCAUAUAUUCCUUGGUGGCAGCAAUUUUUGGCAUGAAUUUCCAAUACACAUGGAGAGAGGGUCAUAGCCACAUGUUUAAAUGGGUGGUCAUAGUCACAAGUAUAAUUUGUGCAACUCUUUUCGCAUUGAUAAUUUCAUAUGCUCGGCAGAAAGGUCUUGUUGGCUCUUGAAUCCAUAAAUUUAUAUAAAAUCAGUCAGAAGGACAAACCUUGAAAUAUUACUCCAGGUUGUUAAUUUACAUUGUAGUGGCUUUAGGGUUGCAUUCAACUACCUGAUCAUCAAAUCAAUUCAGGUAACAAAACCAAAUAAGUAGAAUGCUGUAUGUAUAUCAUUUUGAUGUAGAAAAUUUUAGAUUUUUUUUUUUUUUAUUGGGUUGGGGGUUCAUUCUGUAAAUAGCCAUGAAUUGGGCUAGAAAUUGCCAUCCAGCCAUUAGUAACUUCUGUAUAGCAGUGGGUUAAAGAUUCAAAGCAAGGUGGUUGAUUUUGAAGCUUUAGGGUUUUAAGGUUUUAGGUGUAACUAAAAUAUGGGACCAAGAGAUAUUAUUGUCUUGUAUGAUAUUGAUAAGGCAGGUAAGAUUGAAUUUAUAACAAGUAAUUGGAGCCUACUAGUGGGGCCAAUUCGAUGGAAGGACAGGCAUAUGUAGGCUGCCCUGCCCCGUCAAGCACUCUUGAAAUGAAAAGAGAGCACGCGGCUGUUGAUUGCUUUAGCAUCUGAUUAACUGGUUUAUCUAAAACAUGAGCAUUUUUUUCAACAAUUUGGAUGAUGUAACGUGAUGCUUGCAUUGGCUUUUAUAGAUUAAAAUAUCAUUUUAUAUAAA